Molecule: long non-coding RNA, 603 nt
Organism: Oncorhynchus tshawytscha (Chinook salmon)
Lineage: Eukaryota; Metazoa; Chordata; Actinopteri; Salmoniformes; Salmonidae
Source: Ensembl
GCCCAGUUGCCACAGAGGCCACAGCAGAUGUAUCUACUGGUAAAAGAGAGGACUUAUUGACAGAUACACAUCUUUCCUCAAUGCUGCAUCGAUACCUGCCACACUUCUUUAACGAUGACUCCAUUCCACCACAGCAGACAGUAGAGGGAACCACUGAGCUCUCAGUUGCUCCAGUGGCAAUAUCUAAUAUAAAGGAAGAGGACAGAUUCUAUCCUUUCUCCCUCCCACCACUGGCUCAGCGGUUCGUUGGCAAUUCAUUAAUUGUCCCAGGAACCUCCCAGCCUGCUGUUUCAGCCACAGAGUGCCGAGUUGCCAAAGAGGCCACAGCAGAUGUAUCUACUGGUAAAAGAGAGGACUUAUUGACAGAUACACAUCUUUCCUCAAUGCUGCAUCGAUACCUGCCACACUUCUUUAACGAUGACUCCAUUCCACCACAGCAGACAGUAGAGGGAACCACUGAGCUCUCAGUUGCUCCAGUGGCAAUAUCUAAUAUAAAGGAAGAGGACAGAUUCUAUCCUUUCUCCCUCCCACCACUGGCUCAGCGGUUCGUUGGCAAUUCAUUAAUUGUCCCAGAAACCUCCCAGCCUGCUGUUUCAGCCACAG